GAUGACGAGAAACAAACGAAUUGCAAAAGCUGUCAGCUGGAGCAACGAUCGAUACUGGGCAACUUGGGACAAGUGGAUGGAAGUGAUUGACUGGGAAGAUGAGGAAGAGCUGUGCUCCCCAGCAGAAUCACCCUCUGACCAGGCUGACCGUUCCAUCGUGUCACACACCCGAAAGCCAAUUGCCAAGGCAGUUAGCUGGACGGAUGAUGUGUAUUGGGCAGCCUGGGACAAGUGGGAUGAGAUCAUCUGCUGGGGUGAAGAAGGAGAGUGCUCCCCAGCAACUCCACCCAUCAACCAGCCUGGGAGGGAUAAGGGGUUAGACAUGCAUGGGUUAGAGGUUUUUCUGUUAAAUGAAAGGACAGUCUCCAUAAAGCCUGCAGAUGACCACCAAGACAGGCUGAAAAUAGGAGCCGUAGUGGUCGACCUCUGCCAGUUUGAGCUAGAUGGUGUAAAUGAUAAAUUUGAAAUUGUCGAAAUACAAAUUGGAGAGGUCAAAUUGGAGGAGACUGCAGAGAGGGGUUUUAAUUCAGAAUUUGAAUUGGAAAUUAUGGAUGUGGAGAUAGAGGUUGUAGACAGUGAAUUCCAGCUGAAUGCUCUUAAUUGGGAAAUUGCUGGAACUAAAGUGGACAAAUUAUUAGUGGAACACCUGAACAUAAAUAAUCUAGAAGCAGGCAGUGUGAAGGUGUCCACAUCAAAUGGGAAUGUGGUAUAUGUCAAUGGUAUGUGAGUGUGUUUGGUAAUGAUGGGUGUGAAUGGUGUGUGUAAGUGGUGUGUGUGUGUAUGAGAAUGGUGAUUGAAUGGUGUGUGUGAGGUAAUGGCGUGUGAGUGAAUGGUGUGUGUGAGUGACAGGUGUGUGAAUGGUGUGUGUGAGGUAAUGGCAUGUGUGAGUGAGUGUGAGUGGUAAUGGUGUGUGUGAGUAUAUGGUGUAUGUGAAUGGUCUAUGUGUGUGUGAAUGGGGAGUGAAUGGUGUGUGAGUGACUGGUGUGUGUCUGGUGUUUAUGAAUGGUGUGUGUGAGUGAAUGCUGUGUGAAUGGUGUUUAUGAAUGGUGUGUGUGUGAGUGAAUGCUGUGUGAGUGACUGGUGUGUGAAUGGUGUUUAUGAAUGGUGUGUGAAUGAAUGGUGAGUUUUUGUGUGUGUGUUUUGUUUGUGUGUGUGUGUGUGUGAAUGAUCUGUGUGUGUGAGCCUGCCCUGUGAUGGGUUGGUGUCCCAUCCUGGGUUGUUCCCUGCCUCGUGCCUGUAGCCUCUGGGAUCCAUCUGACCGCCUGUUCCAAAAGGCAAAUUGAUCCCCACAUCCCUGAACAGGAGAAGCGGUUUUAGAAAAUGGAUAAAUGUUCCCAGAGGUGUGAGGCAACAGUGCUAACCACUGUACCAUGCAUAUGUAUAGGAUAUGUAGAAGAAUACCUGUUGCAGUUAUCUGAUGUGUGUGUUUUUCACUCUCCCUGCCGGCCCCUGGAGGUUUGGGCUUCCCCUUUGAGUCUGGUGCCUCCCAAGGUUUCUUCCUUCUAGGGAGUUUUUCCUUGCCACUGUCGCCUAUGGCUUACUCACUGGGGGCUUUGGGUGGGGGUGCUCUAAAGCGCUUUGAGACAAUGUAAUGUUGUGAUAUCGUGCUAUACUUUGUUGUGUAAUUUUCUAUUUACUCAUGCAAAUAAAUAAUUGUUUGAUAA
RNA transcript from Brienomyrus brachyistius, 1664 nucleotides. RefSeq lists it as uncharacterized. The transcript has 3 exons. The record is from RefSeq and is a predicted model, not a curated record. Lineage: Eukaryota; Metazoa; Chordata; Actinopteri; Osteoglossiformes; Mormyridae.